AAUGGACAGUUCGGGCUUAUCACACGAUGAACUCCAAUCGGAGACUCACCUUCCCAGUUUUUGUACGAGGCACGGCAGUCCGGACACACAACCUCGUCGUCUGUUAAUCCACGCUGGAACCCCGCUUCCACAAACUUUAAGGCGGCAGCCAUUUUUGUGACAAGGGCGACAACCCAUUUCCUGUGUGACCUGGAUGAGGGUCAACUGAGAUCAAGAUUGAGUUAGACGCCGUUGUUGUUGACUGCUGACUUAGUGCUUAUUGUUGGUUUGAAAUAAAGAUGUAAAGUUU
This is a long non-coding RNA of Pomacea canaliculata, 289 nucleotides long. RefSeq lists it as uncharacterized. The record is from RefSeq and is a predicted model, not a curated record. NCBI's taxonomy places the organism in Eukaryota, Metazoa, Mollusca, Gastropoda, Architaenioglossa, Ampullariidae. The transcript has 2 exons.